This 433-nucleotide ribosomal RNA is filed under the name uncultured bacterium. RNAcentral describes it as "partial 16S ribosomal RNA". It matches the Rfam family "Bacterial small subunit ribosomal RNA", at positions 29 to 507 of the family's 1533-position model. The record is from RNAcentral.
AACGAACGCUGGCGGCAUGCCUAACACAUGCAAGUCGAACGAGACCGUCGGGUCUAGUUGCGCACGGGUGCGUAACGCGUGGGAACCUGCCCUUAGGUUCGGAAUAACUCCCCGAAAGGUGUGCUAAUACCGGUUAAUGUCUUCGGACCAAAGAUUUAUGGCCUUUGGAUGGGCCCGCGUUGGAUUAGCUGGUUGGUAGUGUAAAAGCCUACCAAGGCGACGAUCCAUAGCUGGUCGGAUAGGAUGCUCAUCCAGACUGGGACUGAGACACGGCCCACACCCCUACGGGAGGCAGCAGUGGGGAAUAUUGGACACUGGGCGCAAGCCUGAUACAGCCAUGCCGCGUGAGUGAUGAAGGCCUUAGUGUUGUAAAGCUCUCUUACCCGGGAUGAUAAUGACAGUAACGGGAGAAUAAGCACCGGCUAACUACGUG